Molecule: ribosomal RNA, 446 nt
Filed under: uncultured bacterium
Lineage: Bacteria
Description: partial 16S ribosomal RNA
Rfam family: Bacterial small subunit ribosomal RNA
Source: RNAcentral
CCUACGGUGGACCGCAGUCGAGAAUCAUUCACAAUGGGGGAAACCCUGAUGGUGCGACGCCGCGUGGGGGAAUGAAGGUCUUCGGAUUGUAAACCCCUGUCAUGUGGGAGCAAAUUAAAAAGAUAGUACCACAAGAGGAAGAGACGGCUAACUCUGUGCCAGCAGCCGCGGUAAUACAGAGGUCUCAAGCGUUGUUCGGAAUCACUGGGCGUAAAGCGUGCGUAGGCUGUUUCGUAAGUCGUGUGUGAAAGGCGCGGGCUCAACCCGCGGACGGCACAUGAUACUGCGAGACUAGAGUAAUGGAGGGGGAACCGGAAUUCUCGGUGUAGCAGUGAAAUGCGUAGAUAUCGAGAGGAACACUCGUGGCGAAGGCGGGUUCCUGGACAUUAACUGACGCUGAGGCACGAAGGCCAGGGGAGCGAAAGGGAUUAGAUACCCCAGUAGUC